AAAGCAGGGGACCGCAAGGCCUUGCGCGAACGGAGCGGCCGAUGGCAGAUUAGGUAGUUGGUGGGAUAAAAGCUUACCAAGCCGACGAUCUGUAGCUGGUCUGAGAGGAUGAUCAGCCACACUGGGACUGAGACACGGCCCAGACUCCUACGGGAGGCAGCAGUGGGGAAUUUUGGACAAUGGGCGAAAGCCUGAUCCAGCCAUGCCGCGUGCAGGAUGAAGGCCUUCGGGUUGUAAACUGCUUUUGUACGGAACGAAAAGACUCUGGUUAAUACCUGGGGUCCAUGACGGUACCGUAAGAAUAAGCACCGGCUAACUACGUGCCAGCAGCCGCGGUAAUACGUAGGGUGCAAGCGUUAAUCGGAAUUACUGGGCGUAAAGCGUGCGCCCUUUCCUGACGCUGAGGAGCGAAAGCGUGGGGAGCGAACAGGCUUAGAUACCCUGGUAGUCCACGCUGUAAACGGUGGGUACUAGGUGUGGGGUCCAUUCCACGGGUUCCGUGCCGUAGCUAACGCUUUAAGUACCCCGCCUGGGGAGUACGGCCGCAAGGCUAAAACUCAAAGGAAUUGACGGGGACCCGCACAAGCGGUGGAUGAUGUGGUUUAAUUCGAUGCAACGCGAAAAACCUUACCCACCUUUGACAUGUACGGAAUCCUUUAGAGAUAGAGGAGUGCUCGAAAGAGAGCCGUAACACAGGUGCUGCAUGGCUGUCGUCAGCUCGUGUCGUGAGAUGUUGGGUUAAGUCCCGCAACGAGCGCAACCCUUGUUCACUGUUGCCAGCACGUUAUGGUGGGGACUCAGUGGAGACCGCCGGGGUCAACUCGGAGGAAGGUGGGGAUGACGUCAAGUCAUCAUGCCCCUUAUGUCCAGGGCUUCACGCAUGCUACAAUGGCUGGUACAGAGAGUGGCGAGCCUGUGAGGGUGAGCGAAUCUCGGAAAGCCGGUCUCAGUUCGGAUUGGGGUCUGCAACUCGACCUCAUGAAGUCGGAGUCGCUAGUAAUCGCAGAUCAGCAACGCUGCGGUGAAUACGUUCCCGGGGCUUGUACACACCGCCCGUCAAGUCAUGAAAGUUGGUAACACCCGAAGCCGGUGGCCUAACCGUUGUGGGGGAGCCGUCGAAGGUGGGACUGGUGAUUAGGACUAAGUCGUAACAAGGUAGCCGUACCGGAAGGUGCGGCUGGAUCACCUCCUUU
This 1193-nucleotide ribosomal RNA is filed under the name Escherichia coli. Its description in RNAcentral is "bacterial SSU rRNA". It matches the Rfam family "Bacterial small subunit ribosomal RNA", at positions 202 to 1533 of the family's 1533-position model. Lineage: Bacteria; Pseudomonadati; Pseudomonadota; Gammaproteobacteria; Enterobacterales; Enterobacteriaceae. The record is from RNAcentral.